UACGGAGGGUGCGAGCGUUGUCCGGAAUCAUUGGGCGUAAAGAGCGUGUAGGCGGCCAGAUAAGUCCGCUGUGAAAUCUCGAGGCUCAACUUCGAGCUGUCGGUGGAAACUGUCUGGCUAGAGUCCGGAAGAGGAGAAUGGAAUUCCUGGUGUAGCGGUGAAAUGCGCAGAUAUCAGGAAGAACACCCGUGGCGAAGGCGGUUCUCUGGGACGGUACUGACGCUGAGACGCGAAAGCGUGGGGAGCGAACAGG
RNAcentral lists this ribosomal RNA (253 nucleotides) under uncultured bacterium. RNAcentral describes it as "partial 16S ribosomal RNA". It matches the Rfam family "Bacterial small subunit ribosomal RNA", at positions 524 to 776 of the family's 1533-position model. The record is from RNAcentral.